UACAGAGGGGGCAAGCGUUGUUCGGAAUCACUGGGCGUAAAGGGCGCGUAGGCGGCCGAUCAAGUCGGGGGUGAAAGCCUGUGGCUCAACCACAGAAUUGCCUUCGAUACUGGUUGGCUUGAGACCGGAAGAGGUAAGUGGAACUGCGAGUGUAGAGGUGAAAUUCGUAGAUAUUCGCAAGAACACCAGUGGCGAAGGCGGCUUACUGGUCCGGUUCUGACGCUGAGGCGCGAAAGCGUGGGGAGCAAACAGG
This 253-nucleotide ribosomal RNA is filed under the name uncultured bacterium. RNAcentral describes it as "partial 16S ribosomal RNA". It matches the Rfam family "Bacterial small subunit ribosomal RNA", at positions 524 to 776 of the family's 1533-position model. The record is from RNAcentral.